GUAAUGAUCUUUCCGUAGGUGAACCUGCGGAAGGAUCAUUACCUAGAGUUGUAGGCUUUGCCUGCUAUCUCUUACCCAUGUCUUUUGAGUACCUUCGUUUCCUCGGCGGGUCCGCCCGCCGAUUGGACACAUUUAAACCCUUUGUAGUUGCAAUCAGCGUCUGAAAAACUUUAAUAGUUACAACUUUCAACAACGGAUCUCUUGGUUCUGGCAUCGAUGAAGAACGCAGCGAAAUGCGAUAAGUAGUGUGAAUUGCAGAAUUCAGUGAAUCAUCGAAUCUUUGAACGCACAUUGCGCCCCUUGGUAUUCCAUGGGGCAUGCCUGUUCGAGCGUCAUUUGUACCUUCAAGCUUUGCUUGGUGUUGGGUGUUUGUCUCGCCUCUGCGCGCAGACUCGCCUCAAAACAAUUGGCAGCCGGCGUAUUGAUUUCGGAGCGCAGUACAUCUCGCGCUUUGCACUCAUAACGACGACGUCCAAAAAGUACAUUUUUUACACUCUUGACCUCGGAUCAGGUAGGGAUACCCGCUGAACUUAAGCAUAUCAAUAAGCGGAGGGAAUGUUCUAC
This 564-nucleotide ribosomal RNA is filed under the name Alternaria porri. RNAcentral describes it as "eukaryotic LSU rRNA". The stretch from base 182 to 335 matches the Rfam family "5.8S ribosomal RNA". Lineage: Eukaryota; Fungi; Ascomycota; Dothideomycetes; Pleosporales; Pleosporaceae. The record is from RNAcentral.